This 2740-nucleotide ribosomal RNA is filed under the name Triticum aestivum (bread wheat). RNAcentral's name for it is "partial small subunit ribosomal RNA". The record is from RNAcentral. Lineage: Eukaryota; Viridiplantae; Streptophyta; Magnoliopsida; Poales; Poaceae.
GUGGGGUGGGGUGGGUGGAGCGGUAGAGGCGGCAGGAGGCGGUGUGUGGCGGUACCGUCGCGUGAGGCAGCGGCGGCGCGUGCGGUGGUAGCGCCGGGNNNNNNNNNNGCGGGGGAGGAGGGGCCGCCGCCGGGGCCGGCUCGCGGACCCGAAGGCGGAGUCGAGCGAGCGGCCGGCGCGGGAGGCGAGCGGCGAGGGCCGCGCGGCCCGGCGCCGCCGGCGGCGGCGGAGGAGGAGGGCGUCCUCGCCGUGGGUCGCCCACGCGCGGAGGCGCCGGCAGCUCUGGCAGCUCCGCCGGCGGUGCCCGCUCGACGAGCUGUUCAGCCAGUUGCGCUAGGCCAAGGACCGGUAGCUGCGGCAGCUCUUCCGGCACAGGCCGGUGGGGCCGGACGGGUACCCCACGCGCGGGUACCCGGUAUAGGAGAUGCUGCUCCAGUACGCGAUGUUGGGGUUCUUGGGGAUGACCAAGUUGGCGCUGGCGAAGCAGGAGAGGCGGCCGGUGCCGACGUACGAGGUCAUGCGGGAGGAGGUGGAGCGGCCGAUGCUGCGGCAGUUCCUUCUCCUGGACUUCGUCAAGUCCGUCACCCCUUCGAGGUGGGGCCCGGUGGGGCUCUUGAAGCUCUGAGGACCUCAACUUCAGUGGUGACCAGGAGAACCAGUCCCAUAGCGCUUACGGCAGCCCAACCGCGAACGACUCUUCGUGGACCGGCGAGCAAAGUUGUUCGGACUGUCACUUUAGCAACUGGUGAUGUGCAUGACAUAACACCCUCUACCCACGUUGUACCUCCCAUAGAACUGACUUCGAACGAGGAACCGACCCGUAACCCCAGAACCGUUCGAUUAACAAAAGAUACUACUGUUGGUGUAGAGGUAACUGCCUCUGUGUCUCUAACGAAAAUGUCUCCUACACUCACCGGCGAAACUCCGAGAACCCACCGUGUGUGAGACCCAAUUCUUACCGUUGCUACCAAUACUGCUCUAGGCAUUUCGGUAGGUCCUUCGUUUUAGUCAAUGGCUGUUCGGGUGUUACUAGUUCCACUGAUGGUGUUAGCCAAAACCUAGAGGGUUGUUCCGGUUGAGUAUGCGACACGUGCCUCGACGUAACCCGUGGUCGCUCCAGCUUCGCUGGUCCCGUUUGGAACCUACCGGUAUACUCGGUAAGAAACACGGACUCCUACAGUUCUCGGUGACCUCGGCGGUAUAAGGGGUUCCACGGCGAGAACUCCGACUGACCCUACGAUUCAAACGUGUCAUGCUCGUCUUCAUGGGUCUUCUACGGCGGUGGAACUUUUCAUAGUAAUGUCCUCUCAACGGGCGACCGACCCGGCUACGAGAAGGAGUUAUGUGUUGGCUCUCGGGACGUCUACGGUGGUCCUUAGAGAGGGUCGUUACGAACUUACGUGAACGAUUUCAACACGGACCAGAAUAACCUCCAUCACGACUAGAACGUAGGAGGUUGUACUGUAACGAAUUCUACAAACCGCUGAAGGUCUUCCUAUGGGGACUCCUCGCGUUACAGGCGAAACCUCAGUCCCUCGUGCCUUACCCGCGGUAAACGUUGCCGUAACGCGACGUGUGGGGUCCCGAGUAAGGUAUGACACGUUGAAAGAAACAAAAGUGGCUGAUGUACUCUCCACGGUACUCCUAGAGUCGGAACAGACUUCGACCUCAAUAGAUACAGUACUGGGUACUGAGAUAACCAGACCCUCUUCUACCAGGCUGGGUAGUUGGGUAACUCGUGAACCACUCGAAGGCACGCUACGGUUUGUACGACUACAAGGCAGGACGACUACCGUUCCUCUGACGGCCCCGUAUGUUCCACCGACAGGAGUUGUCCUUCUCCGGUAGAUAAGACCGAGAGAGGUCCGUUUUCGAAGGAGUAGACGGACCAUGGAGUUAACUCCCGCAACGCUUCCCACCUAUGUGAUAGAGACUGUUGAGCUGGCUGUUGUUCGGACUGAAGUAGUAUUACUCGUGACCAAGACUCCAUCUCUAACGACACUUCCGACGGCUUCUCAACUGCUUCCUCCCCUUCUGACAGGCGCAACACAGUAAACAGACGACCCUCGAAAAGCUGCUCGUCAGUCUACUUAUGUUCCUCUCGCACGAGGGACUCCGACAGUGGCGUUCCUAGUCGUAACUCCGACCGAGAUGGGAGCCUACCGUUUUCAUGCAACCUAGGUUCCCGUUCUGGUAGCCGUAGCUGUUCAAGCCGCGGUCGCGAGGACGGGGCUUCUAGAUGUUCCUCAUGCCGUAGUGGCGCCUCUCGCAGUAACGGCGUCGGUUCUCGGACAUUCUAGCGUGUGAGCAGCUCCAAGACAGUAGCAACUACCGUUUCUUGUUUGUGGUGUGAACUUCCAGAGCACGGGUCUUCGAACCUUAUUGCCUCCCUCUCCUCCUACGGACGCAGCCUCGCACUCACCAUAAAAAUCCGGACAUUAUUUGUUACGGAAAAGGUAAACGCAACAGAAUGUAAGCUAUGUAUAGCGGGGGGAAUCUACUAAGCGCCUCCCCCGCUCGGACUAGUUUAACCCCUGACCAAAAAACAUAAACAAAUGUAACUUGACUAUCAGCACGAACGCUACGAAGAAAGAGAGGGGUUCUAGUAACAGAGGUACCCACCAAGUACGAAACUACGUGGGAAAAUCAGGAACAUCAAACGAGUAGCAGGGGAAGAGGGUAUGUUUGCCAAACUACGUAUAUCAUAGUAGUUAAGUUAUUUUUAUCUCACAAACGGUAG